Long non-coding RNA from Brassica napus (rape), 1991 nucleotides. RefSeq lists it as uncharacterized. The record is from RefSeq and is a predicted model, not a curated record. The transcript is spliced from 2 exons. NCBI's taxonomy places the organism in Eukaryota, Viridiplantae, Streptophyta, Magnoliopsida, Brassicales, Brassicaceae.
UUUGGUUUAUUUUAUACUAACCAGCCCAAAGAGGGGUUAUUUGGUUUUGUCUAUUUGUUUUCAGACAGGUUAUGUUUUACACAUGGUGGUACACGCAUAUCACAGCAACAUCAUCCAAGAUUUCGUGUGUGUGUAUUUGAAGUCGAUGACUCAAUAUGUUCGAUCAGAUUGUGGCAUGGCCGAUGGUAAAGAAGAACCAACUAUCAUGUUUGAGGACAAAACAUAUUCUGCCCAAAAUCUUCAUCACCCACGGAUUGCAGAAAUUUGGAGAGGUCCAAGGGACCUUCAGUAAUGUCCAAAUCAGGGGGAGUAAUGUGUGUUGUACUCUUUUUCCUUCACCAUGGUUUUGUCCCAAUUGAGUUUUCCUGGUAAGGUUUUAAUGAGGCAACAUUAAAGCACAUUACAAGCUCUAAAUGGUUAUGGCAUCCAAGGGGGAGUGUUAUGAACCAGAUUGUGGAUGUCUCAUAACCAAAAGAUUAUGAUUUAUAAUCUUUCCAUUUAUCUAUGACGGUGUAAUCUCAUAUAUAAGGAACCUCUAUGUUAUGAAUAAAAAUAGAUUUUUCGAUUACUUUUAUAACAAAUUUCAAAUAUAUUUGAUUUUCACCUGUAAUUUGUUAAAUUUAAUUAUUUUUACCAACCAUAACAAUUUGUUUGGAGCGCGCUAUUUUCAGUGUAGCUAUUUCGCAUUUGUGCAAGAUUAACGAUCAAACAAAUUAAUGGAAGUCCGCCCUAUCGGAAAUUAAUUAAGUUAGGUGAUCUUGCUUAAUACUACUGUUAUACUUAAUCUAUUGACCUUAGGGCAUCAUUAUUGGUGUCCCUUAGGCUGGGUCCUUAAGCGUAGGGUCCCUUACCUUUUAACUAAAAAAGCUAAGGAACGGCCCUUAAAUAAGGGAUUUGAGAGAAGUCCCUUAACGUUUUUAGUUAAAAGUUAAGGGACCUUAUGCUUAAGGGCCUCAACCUAAGAGACACCAAUAAUGAUGCCCUUAGUGUAGAUGUUCUGGACUUCAAUAUUUUUACAAUGUUAUCAAUCAACAAUAGCUUGAGCUGAUACACGAAACUGAAGCCCCGUGUAAUUUUUUUUCUGUACUUUGUCAAGAUUUUUCAAUUAAUGUUCAAAAAAGUUUUUUCAUCGAUACUGUUAAAAUAUAAGACCUUUUUUUUAGGUGUCUUCCUGUUUCAACAAUAUUUACAAGAUUUUGCCAUUGGAUUAUUUUUAAACUAUGAUUUUAAUUAAAUGCAAUAUAUUUUAGUAAUUCCUUUUAUUCCUCACAAAGCUUUGAGUUUCACGGGGGUUCAUGGCACCAGAUAUUUUGGUUCUCUCAAAGUUAAGGGUUCUUCAUGGACUUCGUUUAAUCGGUUUAGAAUGCGGACAAAAUGGAUUGGGAACGGACAUGACUAGAUUUGAUUUUGAUUUGAAAUAUGGUGAUUUAAGUAAGGUGAGAUGCGAUUCAGAGUAUUGGUGCUGGUGAGGAUGAUAUCGGCAUUGGAGAGGAUGAAACUGGAGCUGCCUGACGAAUAUGCAAAACGUGUUAUGGUUCUAACGUGUGAUUCCAAAGCUGAAGGCGGAUCUUGUGAUGUGUAUUUGACUGGCACUGUUUAUUUUUCAGAGGAAUCAUGUCGAGAAGUUGAAGCUUUAGUCAGCUACAUGAAACAAGAUGUUCUUCUCCAUUACAGUGAACUCUUUUGGUAAUGUGUUUCUCUCUCUCUAAUUACGUGUCUCAUGUAUUGCAGGUCGUCUUCGUGGAGUUGUGUGCAAGCCGAUUGUCUAUUCUGAUUCUCACACCUCAGGCUGUGAAAGUUUUGCUCUGCAUCAUUCUUAUAACAUUUGUACAUGUGUUCUAGCUCUUCUUUUAUCAAGUAUCCAUGUUCUUUACUCUGGAAUGUUGCGAUGUCUUUGGUUUUCUGGUUUCCGACCAUGUGGGAAGUGAUAGACAUGUGGAAGAAGAAGCACAACCCAUUCGGAAUAGCCUACGAAUACUUCCUCUGUUUUA